Molecule: transfer RNA, 74 nt
Filed under: Cladophialophora immunda
Lineage: Eukaryota; Fungi; Ascomycota; Eurotiomycetes; Chaetothyriales; Herpotrichiellaceae
Description: tRNA-Val (TAC) (tRNA-Val-TAC-1-1)
Rfam family: tRNA
About the family: Transfer RNA (tRNA) molecules are approximately 80 nucleotides in length. Their secondary structure includes four short double-helical elements and three loops (D, anti-codon, and T loops).
Source: RNAcentral
AGUUCCUUAGUGUAGUGGUUCAUCACAUCUCCUUUACACGGAGAAGGUCAUGGGUUCGAUCCCCAUAGGAACUA